CCUCCUCCUCCUUCUCCUUCUUAUUCUCCUCCUCCUCCUCCAUCCUUCUCCUCCUCCUUCUUCGUCUCCUCCUCCUCCAUCCUUCUCCUUCUCCUUCUUCUUCUCCUCCUCCUCCUCCAUCCUUCUCCUCCUCCUCCUUCUCCUCCUCCUCCUUCUUCUCUUUCUCCUUCUCCUUCUCCUCCUCAUACUCCUUCUUCUUCUCCUUCUCCUUCUCCCCUCAGCCCUGCGCCAUAUCCAAGCACCUUGAUGACUGUUACCUCCUCCUGCACAUGUCAGCAGGAGUGAAGUGGUUUUUCAUCAUCUCUCCUCAAGAUAGAGUUUUCUACCCGUCGAGUGUCCUCAAGAUGAGGAAUCAGCCAUCGGCCCCAAGAUCUCCCAGCGUGGAGACCAGUCUGCAGCUGACGGGGUUAAUUAACAGGUUAGACUGAAUCGGUGUGCCUCUCGUUGAUGAAUGCAGAGCAUGUCUUCUGUGGCUCUGGUGACCUGUGACGGUCAGCAGUCCAAUACAUGAAUUUGGGGUUUUCUAUUUUAUAGUAAUCCCUAACAAUACCAGUUACUGUCUCAAUCCCCUGAAUAAAGAUGGCCUUUCCCGAAAGACUGUUCCAUUCCAUCUUUGGUAGUUAUCUCCAUUGUUUACACUUCAACGUGGAUUCUACCUUUUUGAAGUAAUUUAGUACUUCUGACCUACAUGGCAGCAAUUCUCCAAACGUCUCUGAAGCUACCCUCUAAAAAUCUACCACAAUUAAUUUUGAAUUCAUUGACAAGAAAUGGAUUACACAAUUGCAGAAUUAUGCAUAAUGGUUUGUGUAAAAUUGAAAGUUUUAAUAGAUGACAUUCGGGAGUUUGGGGGAAAGCAAAUUGCACACUUCAUUAGGCUUAGUGGUGGUUUUAAGACCUGAUCGUGUUCCAGCUUUAGUAGUGAAACGAUUAACGUUUUGGAAAUAAAACUGACGAAGAAAUCAUACAAAUACCAACUAGAGAAACUACUUCUUUUGUCCACCAAAUGGUCAUUGUGUGAUAAAGGGAUUUAAAAAAAUGUACCGCCUAGGAUGGAAAAUGAUGAAAUGAACAGAAAAACAAACAGAAAUAACUGGAGCUUUUUCUUCUGCAUGCUGGGCUGGUUUGCAUAUUUGGAACCAAAUAUUUACAGGUUUGAAAUCUUUUAAACGUCACAUCUCUGCACGCACACUCAACUUGAUACGGCAUCUUAUACUAAAAUUAUAAUCAAAUGUCAGAGACAUUUUUGCAGCCAUAAAGGGAGUGUAAUUAAAGCCCCGUUAGAGGACGCAAAACAGCGUUUCUAUUGUUAAUCCAGUCAUGUAGUGUUCUUAUACGUUAUACAUUAUACAUUAUUAUUUGGGCUUUUCAGAGCAUUGAUGUUUAACCUGCGAAUUUACCAACAAAGUAAGUGACAAAAGUAAUGUAGUUCACGUAAGCAAAAUAUUUGAAACAUUUUUAAAAUGAAAGUUGUAAUGACUAUAAUAAUAAUAACUGACUAUAAUAAUAAUAAUAAUUAAAUCAAUAAAUAAUGCCUCAGAUAUAAAUAGAUAAUACAUUUGGGGACUGGAUUAUGAUAAAUCAAUAAAGUUACAUAAUUCAAAACAUUUGUCAAAAAUGGAGCCCACCAUUAUUCAGAAGAUAUUCACACCCUUGGAAAGCCCCCAGCAUUAAAGAGCCAACGAGGCCAUCCGCAUAUUUACGUGGCCAGAAGGAGAUUGGAUCAAUGGUAAAAGUUGAAGUGAAUCUGCUCUUAAUUGGGUUUUUUGAGGUAGAACAUUUACAAAUGUGAGUCCAGAUGAGUUGCACAUUCUCUGUCGAGCUGCCAAGCGUUAAUACUCUUCUCUUUGUUUGACAAAUAAUCACAGGUACAUUUUUGCUUAACCAUGUGGAUUAUAACAGUGUUGCUAUGUUGUUGUUUUUUUGUAAUUAUUUGUAGAAAUGAUGAACUCCUGAAAUUUGAAAUAAAGCCAGCAUGACGUCAGGAAAACAUGCAUUCUAAGAGGAGUGAGUGGUUCUCUG
Long non-coding RNA from Gasterosteus aculeatus aculeatus (three-spined stickleback), 2019 nucleotides. Lineage: Eukaryota; Metazoa; Chordata; Actinopteri; Perciformes; Gasterosteidae. The record is from Ensembl.